Molecule: long non-coding RNA, 304 nt
Organism: Phascolarctos cinereus (koala)
Lineage: Eukaryota; Metazoa; Chordata; Mammalia; Diprotodontia; Phascolarctidae
Source: RefSeq, a predicted model, not a curated record
GUUUUUCUAAUAUGGAGCUUUGUAACUGGGACUUAUUUACAGACUGAAAAAUCUGACAGGUGAACUAGAGAAAAUGUUGCUUCCAUGAAAAGGAAUAACAAGAAGAAACGACCCACGUUUUCAGAAUCACUUUGGAGAUAUAUUAAAGAAAUGAUGAAAUAAAGGAAGAUGUUUACCUCUCACAAGAAAGGAUGAUGGCCACAGCAUUUCACUCGCCCAAAACCUUUCCGGAUAAUGACAGUCUGUCCACCUGUAUCUUCGUGUACCCUGCCUGAUUCGGAGUGAGUGCAUUGAAUUGAGGAGA